This 1725-nucleotide long non-coding RNA is filed under the name Olea europaea subsp. europaea. The record is from RNAcentral. Lineage: Eukaryota; Viridiplantae; Streptophyta; Magnoliopsida; Lamiales; Oleaceae.
CUGAAUUUUUAGACGACGGCGUUUUGUGUAAUUAAAAGAAGAUAAGUGUUCCUUCUCUUUCUGGAAUAUUCAUUUCGUCUCUAGUUUUCUCUUUGUUUUUAGAUCUAAUUUUCAUUUUCAACAAAUCUUCAAAAUUUGGUUAUGGAGUGAUGUUUAGCAAAAUUUGAGAGUUAGCAACGGUGGCAACUUCCACUUCGAUGUGUGAGCAUCAAUUUUUAUGCUUUGCAGCCUAUCUGGAGGAUUCUGCAAGCGUGCAAGCCAGGCUGUAAGAAAAUGAAAACAGUAAGAACUAGAUAACAUAAUUCUUCUUCUUAAAUCUUUUAUAUGACUUAAAUCUAUACUGUUUCAUUAUCACCACAAAAAACAAAAGCAAAGAAAUUCAAAAGCAAUUAAUUUUAUAUAAUUCAAGUAUUUCCAUACCAUAUAUUGCUUUCUAUUCUUUAUUUGUGUCAUUUGAUUUUUGAUAAUUUUAAAAUUCGCCAAAAGGGAUUGUUAUUAGGUUUCACAACCUUAUGUUAAUCAUAUUAUCCUUGUAGUGUACGCCAUAAAAAGGAGUUGAAGUGAGUUUUUUCUUGUUGAGAUGAGCCAAUUACUGGUAGAUUUAUACGUGUCGUUGUGUAUGUAUUUUCACUGUUUGUAUAAUAUAUCUCUAAAAACAUAGGAUUUGACUUUUGAAAAUAGAGAGGAUUCUCCAUCUGUCUCAAAAAUUGGGCUGACAUAUUCAGCAAGCGAUUGUGUUCUUCCCAUCUGCAAUAACUGCUCGAUUCUACAAACAAGGAUCUGUUUAAUUCCGAAGGAAAAUUUAGAGAUUAAGAAAGGCAACUGCAGAUAAUUAUGGGGGACAUAUGGCUUUUUAGUGACAAUCCCCUGCUGUUCAUCUAGCAAAAGGAAGGAAUGGCCACACAAAUGGAUAUUCUGAGAUCGAAAGCAAUCUCGACUCUUAAGAAAAAGGGUGGGGAAAUUGGGAUAUAACAUUGAAACGUUAAGAAGGGAAGCGAGUGGGUUAAAGGAAGUAAUAAUCCGAAAACUCGAAACUUUUGGGCCGUCUUAUCUUCUAUAAAUUCAAAAUAAUAGAAAUUUCAAACAUCUGUUUUUUACGUGUGAUAAAGAUUAAUAUUAUGGUAUCUUGUUAAUAUAUAACUAAGAAAAACAUUUUGAAAACAAAAUCAAAGAUAGUUAUUUUUAAAAGUGAAAAUUUGUGUCUUUGUAUUAAUUUCCAUGUUAUUAUACUUAUUCAAGACAUCUUUCGGUAAGCUUCCAAGAUUGAGCUUCUUUGUUCAUCUUUUGGAAUUAAUUGAUGACUGUAGGUGUUUGGUCAAGAAUGCUUGUUUGGUUUUACCGUUCUUGAUUAAUCUUCAGCUUCAAUUGAUUUUCUUGAUUUUGGUUUUUUUUUUUUUUCCCCUCAGCAAAAAGAAAGAACAUUUUUGUUUGUUCUGAUUAUAUGUCAUAAUUUAUUGUAUCUAUUUAAUGAGCUAAACCAUGUGGUAUUUCCUAAUUGUUUCUAUGCACAACUGAAAAACAAUGCAAUUUCGUUCUUCACAUGUCCUAUUACUAAAUAGUAUUUGAUCCAUUUCACUUCGCUUGCACUUUAGCGACAUGAGUUUUUGUUGACUUCCUCGAAGUGAGAUGCGUUUGAUGUUACAGGUGCCUUCCAGAAUUUCAGGGACUACCUCAAAUUUUGUGAUUAAUAAAAUCGAGAUUUAAUUUAAACAACCUAAUUUCCUG